UCUAGGACAGACAACAAAGGAAACUC
RNAcentral lists this non-coding RNA (26 nucleotides) under Cricetulus griseus (Chinese hamster). Lineage: Eukaryota; Metazoa; Chordata; Mammalia; Rodentia; Cricetidae. The record is from RNAcentral.